GGAAAGAUGGUGUAAUUGGUACGCACGCAACACUGAAAAUGUUGAGGUAAAAGUUCAAUUCUUUUUCUUUCCA
Molecule: transfer RNA, 73 nt
Filed under: Flavobacteriaceae bacterium
Lineage: Bacteria; Pseudomonadati; Bacteroidota; Flavobacteriia; Flavobacteriales; Flavobacteriaceae
Description: tRNA-Phe
Rfam family: tRNA
About the family: Transfer RNA (tRNA) molecules are approximately 80 nucleotides in length. Their secondary structure includes four short double-helical elements and three loops (D, anti-codon, and T loops). Further hydrogen bonds mediate the characteristic L-shaped molecular structure. tRNAs have two regions of fundamental functional importance: the anti-codon, which is responsible for specific mRNA codon recognition, and the 3' end, to which the tRNAs corresponding amino acid is attached (by aminoacyl-tRNA synthetases). tRNAs cope with the degeneracy of the genetic code in two manners: having more than one tRNA (with a specific anti-codon) for a particular amino acid; and 'wobble' base-pairing, i.e. permitting non-standard base-pairing at the 3rd anti-codon position.
Source: RNAcentral